This 599-nucleotide ribosomal RNA is filed under the name uncultured Bacillus sp. Its description in RNAcentral is "partial 16S ribosomal RNA". It matches the Rfam family "Bacterial small subunit ribosomal RNA", at positions 769 to 1319 of the family's 1533-position model. The record is from RNAcentral. Lineage: Bacteria; Bacillati; Bacillota; Bacilli; Caryophanales; Bacillaceae.
UUUUUGGGUUAAAAUCCCGGUAUUUCCCUCCCCAAACCGAGAUGAAUAAGCGUAGGGGGCUUCCACCCCUUAGUGCCGCAGCUAACGCAAUAAGCACCCCCCCUGGGGAGUACGGCCGCAAGGUUAAAACUCAAAUGAAUUGACGGGGCCCCGCACCACGCGGUGGAGCAUGUGGUUUUAUUCGAAGCAACGCGAAGAACCUUACCUGAUCUUGACAUCCUCCCCCCCCUCCAGAGAUGGAAUUGUUCCUUUUGGGGGACAGACUCACAAAAAGCACAUCGUUGUUCUCCGCUCGUCUCGUGAGAUGUUGGGUUAAGUCCCACCACGAGCGCCCCCCUUCCCCUUAGUUCCCAUCCUUAAGUCGGGCACUCUAAGGAGACCGCCGGUGACAAACCGGAGGAAGGUGGGGAUGACGUCAAAUCAUCAUGCCCCCUAUCACCUGGGCUACACACGUGCUUCAAUUGUUCGGUACAAAGGGGAAAAAACCCGCGAGGGCCAGCUAAUCCCACAAAACCGGUCUCUUUUCCCCCCGCAGGGGGAAACCUUUUUUAUUCUUCCCCCUUUUGGGUUAGAAUGCCAGAUAGCCAGUAGCAUUAUGC